GAAGGUGUUAUCUCUGUGUUCUACUGAUCUGAAGGUGUUCUCUCUCUCUGUGUUCUACUGAUCUGAAUGUGUUCUCUCUCUCUGUGUUCUACUGAUCUGAAGGUGUUCUCUCUCUCUCUGUGUUCUACUGAUCUGAAGGUGUUAUCUCUGUGUUCUACUGAUCUGAAGGUGUUCUCUCUCUCUGUGUUCUACUGAUCUGAAGCUGUUCUCUCUCUCUCUCUCUCUGUGUUCUACUGAUCUGAAGGUGUUCUCUCUCUCUGUGUUCUACUGAUCUGAAGGUGUUCUCUCUCUCUCUCUCUCUGUGUUCUACUGAUCUGAAGGUGUUCUCUCUCUCUCUCUCUGUGUUCUACUGAUCUGAAGGUGUUCUCUCUCUCUCUCUCUCUCUGUGUUCUACGAAUCUGAAGGUGUUCUCUCUCUCUCUCUCUGUGUUCUACUGAUCUGAAGGUGUUCUCUCUCUCUGUGUUCUACUGAUCUGAAGGUGUUCUCUCUCUCUCUCU
Molecule: long non-coding RNA, 497 nt
Organism: Oncorhynchus tshawytscha (Chinook salmon)
Lineage: Eukaryota; Metazoa; Chordata; Actinopteri; Salmoniformes; Salmonidae
Source: Ensembl